Molecule: long non-coding RNA, 885 nt
Organism: Ricinus communis (castor bean)
Lineage: Eukaryota; Viridiplantae; Streptophyta; Magnoliopsida; Malpighiales; Euphorbiaceae
Exons: 2
Source: RefSeq, a predicted model, not a curated record
UUGACUUAUUUGCUUAAGCAUUUCAAACACAUAAAAACUUACAAAAUAUUUUCUUCACAGAAAUUUUCCGUGAAAUAAACAGAGCCUAAAGAUGAUAAAUAUUUUCUUGACAGAUAUAUAAAUGAUACUAUUUAGUUGUUAUAUUAAUCUAUGAAUCAGAAAUAAAUGGAAUUUGCUUAUGAAGAAACAUAGGGUAAUAAAAUGAGCCAUCCCAGUGCACGAACAUGGUGUCUCCCAAAUGACAAUAUAUUGGAAAUAAGAAUAAUAAUCCCACCACCCCACAUGACCCACUUGCAUGUGAUCUUCAGAUUCAAUGAACUGCCUCUAAUUAUACAAACCUCACAUGCUAAAUUACUUCAAUUUUGAUCCCACCACUACCACCCAUUCCUCUGACACUAAAUUAGUGUAUAUAUAUAUACAUUGAACUUCCUAACAGAAUCUUCUCCUCUUAAGUACUAUAUAUCAGCAGUUUCUUUCUCUGACCAUCUUCAAAUCUCUCUGUCUCUAGCACUCUCAAUAUGGAAAUGAUGGUGCCGAGUUUUACACUGGAGAAAGAACAGCGUCAUCAUCGUUAUCAGUUCUUGAAUGUACUUGAUUAGCAGACCUGUAAUGAAUACAUUGAGAGGGACGAACGAAAGAAAGAAAGAAAGAAAGAAAGAAGAGAUCAGGGGAAACUAAACUUGAAGCAGUUUUUAUCAAUCCAUUUUUCUUUCAGAUCUUUUAAUAUAUAUUAGGAGUAUAUAACAGAUAAUGUUUUUUCAUGUAGUUCUGCAAAAUCUAGGCAUAAUUUAACUGUAAUCAUAUUAGCUUGUUUCUAUAAUCUAUUGCUAACUUAUGAAUCAAUUUCUUGAUUAUAAAGGUUUCUCAAUUUCAGGGGAUUGUUUA